This 484-nucleotide ribosomal RNA is filed under the name uncultured bacterium. RNAcentral's name for it is "partial 16S ribosomal RNA". It matches the Rfam family "Bacterial small subunit ribosomal RNA", at positions 29 to 523 of the family's 1533-position model. The record is from RNAcentral.
AGUGAACGCUGGCGGCGUGCUUAACACAUGCAAGUCGAACGAGAACGGAUUAUAGCUUGCUAUAAUUGUCAGCUAAGUGGCGCACGGGUGAGUAAUGUAUAGGUAAUAUGCCUCUUACUAAGGGAUAACAAAUGGAAACGUUUGCUAAUACCUUAUACUCCUUAUUAACAGAAGUUAAUAAGGGAAAGAUUUAUUGGUAAGAGAUUAGCCUGUAUUGUAUCAGUUAGUUGGUGGGGUAAUGGCUUACCAAGACUAUGACACAUAACUGGUUUGAGAGGAUGAUCAGUCACACUGGAACUGAGACACGGUCCAGACUCCUACGGGAGGCAGCAGUGGGGAAUAUUGCACAAUGGACGAAAGUCUGAUGCAGCAACGCCGCGUGGAGGAUGACACAUUUCGGUGCGUAAACUCCUUUUAUAUGAGAAGAUAAUGACGGUAUUAUAUGGAUAAGCACCGGCUAACUCUGUGCCAGCCGCCGCGGUAA